CUGAACACUAACAUGGUGAAGGGGAGUGGGGGGAGGGAAGAGGCAUCUUCCUCCUAUCACUUCGGUGCUUUCAAAGAUCCCCAUUUCCCAGAAGUACUUCUGUAGCGGGCUAAUAUAAUUAUUAGCAGCUGUUAAAACAAACAACAAACAAAAACCAAGAAGCGCAGGCCCGGACUGGCAUGUCUGCACACGCCUGAGCGCUCUGACACUGCAAACUCCGCACAGGCCCCUUCCUUUCCCCGCCGCCCGCCUGCCUGUGGGCCUGCUGCGGCCCGGCCGCCCAACAGCGGGGCCACAACUGCGGCCAGAGGCGCUCAUUUUCACCCAUUUACCUUCAUUUUCACCCAUUCACCUUCAUUUUCACCCAUUCACGUUAUGAAUGCCGAGCACCCCUCCUCUGAUGAGCGCAACAUUCAUUCUUUCGCUUCUCGGACGCGCUCUCCCAUGAACAAAAGGCAGGAGAGAUGACUUACUCGAGAUUUAGAGAAACGCCGGGGGAGCAAAUGAAGCAACAGAAGGGACAAAUGCAAAAAGUUCCACGUUUUUAAAGAAGAACAUGGGGAUCGGGGGAGAAAGAGGUUAAAGGAUUGUUUGCUCUGGUGGCUUUGAAAAUGUGACAAGUGGUAGGAUUUCUGAUCACAUCUUUUGUUGUCAUGUGGCUCCUUCCUGGGACUGCGGAGGGGGGAGUGUUUUGGGGGGGAUGCAGAUCUUUCUCUCUUUCCCUUUUUAACAAGAGCCUUCAGGGCCUUGAAUUCUGGCUAAAAGUUUAUAAACAUGAUCCUGGGAAUCUGUAAAAUCCAAAAGCAAAUAAAAGCAUUCCCAUGCGAAUUGUUUAUUAAAAUCACAUGAUUUUUAAGUAGCUCUCACGAUUCCUUGGGCCAGUUUCACGAUUCCGAAUGCUCAAGGCCGGCAGUAUAAAUUCUACCUGCUCCCUGGGACUACUUUUUGUGAUUAGCCGGCUCUAGGCAGCUGCUUGGCCUGCAAAUUCCUGUUCAGAAUCCUCCAUUCAUUUAUUAACAAGGCAGAGGGGCACAGGUAGAGUGUCAGCCCCAUGAAUAUGAAUGCCCUGCUCGACCGAUCCGAGUGGCAGGCACCAAAGCAGCGACUCACAGCAAUUUGAAACGUGACUGCCUCCACCAGUGCGCACCCUCCCUCUCUCGCUGCCUCCCUGCUCCGAGGAUCCCAUGUCCGGAACAGCGAUCCGCUGUGUUAGUGCAGAGCCGCCCUUGAUUUCGGCUGUUUCAGCCCUCAGCAGCGGCCGGGGCUGGGCUGUGCUGCCGGAGCUCCAGGGGAAGGCAGGCAACAUCUGGCCCCGGGGCAGGGCGGGCAGCAGGGUUUGAAACCGCUGUAGCAGAAUACACCGGCUCCCAUCCCCGAGUCUGCAGCUAAAAUGAAAUGCAAAAUGGCACAUAUCGCAUGCAUGUCCCCUUUGUCUGGGAGGGAGAGACUUCUCUCUUUAAAGGGGCAGCACGCAAAAGCAGCGAGAUUUCUGACGCUGCUAAGCUUCCUGGAAGCUUUCCAGGCUGGAUAAUAAUUGGCAAAUGUCAAAGUCUUAAACAAUAUUUAGCGGUAGUUAAAAAUGUGACUAAACUCCGAAGGUUGGUAUUAAAUCCAGACAAAUCCCUUUAAUAUACUGGGCCAGACCUCCUGUCUGAGGAAUCACUGCAGUCUGAGUGUGUGUAGGUGGCCUCUACCCAGACAAAAGGCAGAGGAACACGUACAGCCCUGACCCAGCAUCAUGUACAGCCCAACCAAAGAGCAAGUACUGGAUCUGCCUUCCGAGUUGAUGGUGCUGCACUGCAGUGUAAAUACUGAAAAACCAAAGCAUUGUGUUUCAAGAGAUUGCUAAGGAGGAAAGCUGUAUCACGGCUGAGAAGAGUGAUAAUUUCUUCUGCAUUAUUCUAUACUAAAAGUAAAUAUAUAAUAUUUAUAUUAUAUUAUUAUAUAAAUUAUAUUAUUCUAUACUUAUAAAAGUAAAUACAUGAUUGACAUAGAUCUACUGGCAUGCAGAAGUAAGAAAACAGUACAUGAAAGUGGUUUCCACCCCCGUGGUCAGGUAGCCCACGUACAUUGUUCCUGUAGCAGGGCAGGUGGGCUAUCACACCAUCUCAGUAGGCUUCAGAUACCUCACUGGCCAUGAGCUGAACGUGUCUGUGGCCACAGGACUUCAGGAAGCAGCCUGCCCACAGCUCUCCCUCACCAGCUGGCUGACUGUGUUACCUGUAUCCAGAACUGUGAUAAUCUGUGAAACCAGUCCUGCAGCUACACAAACUGUGAGCACUUUGGCUGUGCUGCAGCAGGGUGAACAGGAUGGUGCUCUCAUCAUGUGGCCUGUCCUUGACAAAACAGUUCUAUUGUUGGCAUUGCUACCACUCUUCCUGUUAUCAUGACUAUUUUGCUACUUUCUCCACUCUUCUAAUAGUUGCCCUUUGUUGAUCUUCAUUGAAUCUUCCCGUCUUUCUUCUGCUUCCAGCUUUGCUUUUAAUGUCUUUCAUUACAAACACAGAAGGAGAAACAAACCUGUCAUUUAUUUUUGUGCCCGUAUAUGUUGUUGCCCAUCCUCUUAAGUGCACUCUUUCAAUGAAAUUUAAUUUAGCUGCUGCAGCUGUACUCAUUGCUUAAAAUAAAUAUAUAAGGAAGUGUAGAAAAUGGUCAGGUAUUCAAGAAAAGUGGUUGCACUUAUGCUUGUUGCUGACAUUUGCAGUGCUCUUUAAGAGGCCUGAGCUAUUGCAAUAUUUUUCUGCAGGAUAAAAUGACUUAAGAUUCUAUUUCCGUCUCUAAUUUCUAUUAUUAAAGGAGCAUCUCUGGUAAAUUUAAGUUUCCAAUGCAUUUUCCAAGAGGAAUAGGAGAUAACCCAAGUGUCUUAAGCAAUGUUUGAGUCACAAUAUCAGGAUGGGAGAUGAGCCAACAUUAAGGUCUGUGUGGCAGCUGUCUCUCCCUAAGCAAGUUGACUUAAUGCUCAGUGAGGGCUGAAGUUUAAGAGAACAGAUUUAAAAGGAUAACUUUCAAUGUGACUUUCAUGGAAUUACUGAGAUGCUUUAAGAAAGGUACAUAACUAGAAGUUUACAAACUUUUUUUUUUUUUAAUUUGUACCUUUUGAGUUGUGCUGGACACUUGGCUCCACAUUGUGUUUUCUUGCUUUCUAGAUGUAGCACCCUGCAUGCUUCUAGGGUUAAAAUAAAUUGCUGGUUUUCAGUGUUGGAAUAAAAAGCAGAUUUAAAAAAAAUGUGGGGAAGAAGUGAUUUGCUCUGGAUAGACAUCCAAAUGAUACACACAGAGAAUUAUUAUUUUUGAAGCUUAGGAUGACAAAGUAAAGAAGGAUAUUUCAUACUGUCCUAUUGUAUGUGGGGAAGUGUAAUCCAUCAACUACUUUGAUAAGCUUUACCAUUUUUUUGAAGAUUGCUGUGAAAUGAUCUCAUGAGCUGAAUCAAUUUAGACAUUCCAAACAAAUGUCUUUUAAAAUGCCCAAAUGAUGUAUAUGAAGAAAUGAUUGUUGUGUUUGUGUCUAGAGAUCAAUGCAUUUUUCUUCAUUUGCAUUAUGCUCUGACACUGCUGUAGCUGCUGGAGUUGCAUUUCAGUAGUACUUGCUGUUGAUUUAUUUUUAAUUUGAUCUUAAUCAGCUCUGUGUUUUUAUCUCCUUUCUUUUUGUCAUUUUAUUUACUUAAGUAUUAGCACAGUUCCUCAAUAAGAAGCUUGGAAAGAGAAAGCUCACAUUGUCUGGCUUCAGUAACCAUCAGCUGUAUUACCACAUGCACAUCUAUCAAGAUUAGUUACUUUUCCAGUACAUAAAAUCCAUUUAUGUAACAAGAAAAUCAAAUAAACACCGCUGUGUUUUCUUAAAA
Molecule: long non-coding RNA, 3842 nt
Organism: Parus major (Great Tit)
Lineage: Eukaryota; Metazoa; Chordata; Aves; Passeriformes; Paridae
Exons: 3
Source: RefSeq, a predicted model, not a curated record